UGAAACGUUUAUUUUCCGUCGACGAGAUAUUCCAAUUUUUACGUUUGUAUUUCGUCUAAUACCGACUCCGCGUACACUUACACAGUUUUCAAUACAGGUUGCCGUUUGAGUAAGCACGUAGCCGUUUCAGUUCCGAAAAUAACGUAAAACAACAAUAGUAACGUUUGUAGAGAUGCUUGUUUCUAAAAGUUGUUGAACAAAAUUUGGAAGUUAUCGCGUUGCGCUUACAUCUUCUCGGGACACCUUGUAUGUACACGAUAUACGCGAGGCACCGACGAUGACGAGGGGGAUGCAAAGAAGUUAUAUAACGUUCUGACACCAGGCAAACAGAAUUACUGGGGCGCGUAAUAGCGAAACGACAAGGGGCGUUUGUUUUCACAAUGGCCAUAGAGGAAUACGCCGCCGUUUGAUUGUGUUUGCGUUUGCGGAAAUCCCACUGCAAACACGACGCGUGUUAUAUACUAUACAUAACUGCAGCGACAGUAUAAACAGUGAAUAAUAAUAUACUUAGAGAAUGCAUUCGAGGGUUCAUUAAAACAAGUUAGAGAAUUUGUACUGCCGGGAUAGAUGGGGUAGCCGACUCAAUCAGCU
This is a non-coding RNA of Cinara cedri, 591 nucleotides long. NCBI's taxonomy places the organism in Eukaryota, Metazoa, Arthropoda, Insecta, Hemiptera, Aphididae. The record is from the annotation of a GenBank genome assembly.